This is a long non-coding RNA of Cyprinus carpio (common carp), 1564 nucleotides long. Ensembl lists it as uncharacterized. The record is from Ensembl. Lineage: Eukaryota; Metazoa; Chordata; Actinopteri; Cypriniformes; Cyprinidae.
CAUUUGCUAUGUGGGGGAUGGAAUGAGCGAAAAAAAAAAGAAACCUGCACAAGUACUUAUCUACACGGUACAAGAUUUCAUCAAUGAAGGUUAAAUUUCAAUUGACUAAAGUCCACUGAUAAGUUGUACAUACUAAGUAUCUAAUACUUUCAGUAUUGCCGAAGGUUUGUGUGACUUUCCAUUAAUUAUUCUUUUGAGACUAUCCAAAAGACAAAAGGAAGUCAAAGAGGACAUUGAGGCUAUAAAGAAGUGCACGCAAAGGUCUGAUGAGGAACUGCAACAGUGGGUCAUUGAUGUGACACAGUGGGCAGUUGACAGUAAGUAUGUACUUGUUGCUGUCUCCUAUCGAUAGAAUUUUUUUUUUUUUUUCUAUAGAUAGAAAAAUGUGAGUUGUUUUUUGUUUUUUUACGACAGUGUUGUGAAAUAUACUCCUCACAGCAGUAGGGGGAGCUCGCUGAGAAAACAUGCGACAACAAAAGUGAAAAUCAACGAAGAAAUGGCUCGAAAUGCUAAGUUAAUAAUUAAACUUGGGUGAUGUAGCAUUCUCCCUCAAAUUUAUAAUACGUACUCACCCUUGAAAAAUGAGCAAACUGAACAAAUGUUUUCAGAUUCUUUAGCAGAACAUUUGUGGAUUUCCUUUUUUGUUUUAACAUGUGUUCCUACUACAUUCUUCUUAUUGAAUCCUCCUUUUACUAUAUUUAAUGUAUAAGGUGUUUUAUAGAAAUAGUAUAAUUGUUCUAUUUUUGAUAGCAUAGAAAAUGCAUGAUACUGAUCAAAUACCUUCACACAUACUUUACAGCACCAGAUGACCUCAGAACAGAUGAUCCAGUGGCGUUGCAACAUCUGAUUGAAGGCCUAUUCUUGGGCAUCCAGCAGAAAAAGAGGAAUCUAUAUCGAGUAACCGACCGUAACAAACAGCGACACAAGAUCCGAAGCUGGAUUAGAGAGGAUAAGAAAAAGCUGUUUAAUGCCAUAUCCCAAUACAAUGAUCUUCCAACCACCACAGAAUCUGUAGAUUCAGUCGAAGACCUUCUGGCAACAGAAAGCCCUAUCUGGCCUUGGGAUUCUGAACCUGACACUUCCUUAGGCAUGAAGAAGAAGGUUUUUGACAAGGUGAUGCAGCUGGAGAGACUGAUUGAGGAAGAGGCUAUAAUUUUAGAGGAAAUGAAACAACAUUGGACUCAUCUUACAAGAACCUGCAGGGCCUUGAAGGACCAGGCUAAUGUACUAUCAGAUGACCUGGCCACACAGAACUACCCUUCAGGACUGUCUGGUCAAGCUUACCAUGGCCUGCACAGUGCUGUCCUCCAAAAAUGUGAGGAGCUCAAAACAGACCUGGUACCUGUGAAAGAAACCUACUCCCAAAUAGUGGUAAAUGGGAAUGGUGGAACUGUUGUUGAAGAAGAUGAAGACCCAUACGAGCAUGUCUCCACAGAUGCCUCUACAGAUGAUGAAUUAUAGAUUCUCUCUUCUCCACUGCACAAACUGGUCUCCUGACUCUGAGUAGCUCAAGUUAGCUCUCCCCAUUGUAAAUAAUAAAAACUUGAACCUGAAUUUUCUUUCA